Scomber japonicus (chub mackerel) is the source of this 275-nucleotide long non-coding RNA. RefSeq lists it as uncharacterized. NCBI's taxonomy places the organism in Eukaryota, Metazoa, Chordata, Actinopteri, Scombriformes, Scombridae. The transcript has 4 exons. The record is from RefSeq and is a predicted model, not a curated record.
GGUUGAAUUCGUCCUCAUCACUGUUGUUGCUGUUCUCAUCACUGUUGUUGCUAUUCGUCACUUCAGAGCUGGAGCAGGGAACCAGAGACCACCUGAUGACCACACUGUUUCUUACUCGGUAAGAAGCAGAACAGCGAGGCGUUCAGGUCCAGCAGCCAGUCAGGAGAUGAAUGAUGAAGAUGAUGGUGCGGUGAACUAUGAAAACUGAUCAACCACUUCCACAUCAACAUCAGCUCACCAGAGAAACGGCUCCCUGACUGUUAUAUCAUUAAUAU